GCUUAUGGCCAUACCAGCCUGGCUAUGCCCGAUCUUGUCUGAUCUCGGAAGCUAAGCAGGUUUGGGCUGGUUAGUGCCUGGAUGGGAGACCGCCUGGAAUACCAGGUACUGUAAGCU
RNAcentral lists this ribosomal RNA (117 nucleotides) under Carassius auratus (goldfish). The record is from RNAcentral. Lineage: Eukaryota; Metazoa; Chordata; Actinopteri; Cypriniformes; Cyprinidae.